This 504-nucleotide ribosomal RNA is filed under the name Triticum aestivum (bread wheat). Its description in RNAcentral is "partial small subunit ribosomal RNA". Lineage: Eukaryota; Viridiplantae; Streptophyta; Magnoliopsida; Poales; Poaceae. The record is from RNAcentral.
CAGGGUAUCGACCUCGUCGCCGGCGGCCGUAACAAGAGGACCAAGCGCACCGCGCCAAAGUCGGACGAUGUCUACCUCAAGCUUCUGGUGAAGCUCUACCGCUUCCUGGUGAGGAGGACCAAGAGCCAGUUCAAUGCCGUGAUCCUGAAGCGCCUCUUCAUGAGCAAGACCAACCGCCCGCCGCUCUCGCUUUGUCGCCUCGUCAAGUUCAUGGACGGCAAGGAUAACCAAAUCGCUGUGGUCGUGGGCACCAUAACAGAUGACAAGAGAGUUUACGAGGUGCCGGCGAUCAAGGUGGCAGCGCUCAGGUUCACUGAGACGGCAAGGGCCCGCAUUGUGAAUGCCGGUGGAGAAUGCCUCACCUUUGACCAGCUGGCCCUUCGUGCUCCUCUUGGUCAGAACACGGUAAUUUCUGCUGCCCACUUAUGUUCUCAUCCUCACUCGUCACUAAGUUUGUCUACAUACGACCAUUGCUAUGGAUUACAAUGUUUUCUAUACUUCUAA